UAGUCCACGCCGUAAACGAUGAUCACUCGAUGUGUGCAAUACACCGUACGCGUCCAAGCGAAAGCGUUAAGUGAUCCACCUGGGAACUACGAUUGCAAAAUUAAAACUCAAAGGAAUUGACGGGGACUUACACAAGCAGUGGAGCAUGUGGUUUAAUUCGAUGAUACGCGAGGAACCUUACCAGGGCUUAAAUGUAAGUUGCAUGAUUUAGAGAUAGAUCUUUCUUCGGACUACUUACAAGGUGCCGCAUGGUUGUCGUCAGCUCGUGCCGUGAGGUGUCAGGUUAAGUCCUAUAACGAGCGCAACCCCUACCGUUAGUUGCCAGCAUGUUAUGAUGGGGACUUUAAAGAGACUGCCGGUGACAAACCGGAGGAAGGUAAGGAUGACGUCAAGUCAGCAUGCCCCUUAUGCUCUGGGCUACACACGUGCUACAAUGGCCGUGACAAAGAGUUGCUACCUUGUGAAAACAAGCUAAUCUCAUAAACGCGGCCUCAGUUCGGAUUG
RNAcentral lists this ribosomal RNA (504 nucleotides) under uncultured bacterium. RNAcentral describes it as "bacterial SSU rRNA". It matches the Rfam family "Bacterial small subunit ribosomal RNA", at positions 791 to 1300 of the family's 1533-position model. The record is from RNAcentral.